RNAcentral lists this ribosomal RNA (428 nucleotides) under uncultured bacterium. RNAcentral's name for it is "partial 16S ribosomal RNA". It matches the Rfam family "Bacterial small subunit ribosomal RNA", at positions 354 to 796 of the family's 1533-position model. The record is from RNAcentral.
GUGGGGAAUAUUGGGCAAUGGGCGAAAGCCUGACCCAGCAACGCCGCGUGAGGGAAGAAGGCCUUCGGGUUGUAAACCUCUGUCCUUGGUGACGAAAAAAAUGACGGUAGCCAAGGAGGAAGCCCCGGCUAACUACGUGCCAGCAGCCGCGGUAAUACGUAGGGGGCGAGCGUUGUCCGGAAUUACUGGGCGUAAAGGGUGCGUAGGCGGCCGAUUAAGUUGGAUGUGAAAUACCCGGGCUUAACCUGGGGGGUGCAUCCAAUACUGGUUGGCUAGAGUGCAGGGGAGGGAAGCGGAAUUCCUAGUGUAGCGGUGAAAUGCGUAGAUAUUAGCAGGAACACCAGUGGCGAAGGCGGCUUUCUGGACUGUAACUGACGCUGAUGCACGAAAGCGUGGGGAGCAAACAGGAUUAGAAACCCCAGUAGUCC